Molecule: ribosomal RNA, 466 nt
Filed under: uncultured bacterium
Lineage: Bacteria
Description: bacterial SSU rRNA
Rfam family: Bacterial small subunit ribosomal RNA
Source: RNAcentral
CCCAGACUCCUACGGGAGGCAGCAGUGAGGAAUACUGGUCAAUGGUCGGGAGACUGAACCAGCCAAGCCGCGUGAGGGAGGAAGGUACAGAGUAUCGUAAACCUCUUUUGUCAGGGAGCAACGCCGGCUACGUGUAGCCGGACUGAGAGUACCUGAAGAAAAAGCAUCGGCUAACUCCGUGCCAGCAGCCGCGGUAAUACGGAGGAUGCGAGCGUUAUCCGGAUUUAUUGGGUUUAAAGGGAGCGUAGAUGGGUUGUUAAGUCAGUUGUGAAAGUUUGCGGCUCAACCGUAAAAUUGCAAUUGAUACUGGCAGUCUUGAGUACAGCUGAGGUAGGCGGAAUUCGUGGUGUAGCGGUGAAAUGCUUAGAUAUCACGAAGAACCCCGAUUGCGAAGGCAGCAUGCCGGCUCCACACUGACGCUGAGGCACGAAAGCGUGGGUAUCGAACAGGAUUAGAUACCCUAGUA